UUUCCCUACGGGGGGCAGCAGUGGGGGAUAUUGGACAAUGGGGGAAGGCUGAACCAGCCAAGCCGCGUGAAGGACGAAGGUGCCAAGCAUUGUAAACUUCUUUUGUCAAGGGACAAAAUCAGGCUCGAGAGCCUGACCGAGGGUACUUGAAGAAAAAGCAUCGGCUAACUCCGUGCCAGCAGCCGCGGUAAUACGGAGGAUGCGAGCGUUAUCCGGAUUUAUUGGGUUUAAAGGGUGCGUAGGCGGGCUGUUAAGUCAGCGGUAAAAGCCCGGGGCUCAACCCCGGCGAGCAGUUGAAACUGGCG
RNAcentral lists this ribosomal RNA (305 nucleotides) under uncultured bacterium. RNAcentral's name for it is "bacterial SSU rRNA". It matches the Rfam family "Bacterial small subunit ribosomal RNA", at positions 334 to 638 of the family's 1533-position model. The record is from RNAcentral.